CGUGUAGGCGGUCUGGAAAGCGGAGUGUGAAAGCCCGGGGCUCAACCCCGGAACUGCGUUCCGAACUUCCGGACUAGAGGACAGGAGGGGGAUCGGGAACUCUAGGUGGAGCGGUGAAAUGCGUAGAUAUCUAGAGGAACGCCGGUGGCGAAAGCGCGAUCCUGGUCUGUCCCUGACGCUGAGGCGCGAAAGCGUGGGUAGCAAACAGGAUUAGAUACCCUGGUAGUCC
RNAcentral lists this ribosomal RNA (229 nucleotides) under uncultured bacterium. Its description in RNAcentral is "partial 16S ribosomal RNA". It matches the Rfam family "Bacterial small subunit ribosomal RNA", at positions 568 to 796 of the family's 1533-position model. The record is from RNAcentral.